Triticum urartu is the source of this 3801-nucleotide RNA transcript. RefSeq lists it as uncharacterized. The record is from RefSeq and is a predicted model, not a curated record. Lineage: Eukaryota; Viridiplantae; Streptophyta; Magnoliopsida; Poales; Poaceae.
UGUGGCUUUUCCAUGUUCGCGAGGGAUUCGCCAAUCCGCUCCGCCCGCGCCCCACGCUCGGCUCGACCUGCAGAACAACCAGAAGGGUCAAACCCUAGCCGCCAAACCUUCUCGUCCCGAGCCCCGCGUCCCCUUCGCCUCGUCUCCUCCCCGCUCCAUCCUCUCCCACGCCGCCGCCCCCUCUCCCCGCUUGCCUCAGCCGCCUCCUCUCCUCCCCGUGCCGCCGCCCCCCUCCUUUCUCCCUGUGCCGCCGGCCACCUCCAUUCUCCCCGUGCUGGAGCAGAGAUGCCUCAGUAGGGGCAGAACACCGGGGCUUUAUCUCCCCUUGUCUAGCACCGGCCAGUGAACAAGACGGAGGGUAGCCAAGGGCGCCUCAAACAGCGGCUGCUCUUCUCCGGCUUGGACCAGAACCCUGGCGUCUGGGUAAGUGCAGAGGAGCGAGCAAAGCAGAUGGUGCAGCCGGCCUCCUCCUCUCUCUCCCUCCCCUUGCUCUCACUCGCUUCAGCACCCUCCUCGCUGUUGGCUGCAUACCCAGAUAAUUGAUGAAAAAUCUUUGAUAAAGAAAUAUCGGCGUCGUCUCAUCGUCUUCAUCGAUACGAGCAUCUCUAUCGGACCACGCGUCCAUGCCUCCCCAUCUACCGUGCUGGAGUAGCCGCCUCCUGGUUGAGGUAUCGCACUGCCACCGCUGCCGCUGCCUGGGUCCCUCCUCUUGCUCCUGCCGAGGUCACAUGUUCGUCGAGGCAUCAAGACACCUCGGUUUUCGUUUCUUUUUUCCUAUUUCUGUUCUUCCACUUGUUUCUUCUUCCUGGACCUCCCUGUCCGCUGAAAUUGCAGGCUGAGGUGAGCACCAUGAGGAAGAGGAUGUCAGUGGCUGAUAUAGAGAGCUCCUCGACCGGGGAAGUUGCAGUUCUGGAGGAACUCGAAGAUGUCAUUUUUCAGUUUUGAUGGGAAUCACUACAAAUAGUUAUGGUCAUGAAUGUAAGAGUUUUCUGAAUUUUACCUCUCAUUUACAAUUUUGAUGGGAAUUGCUACAACAACAAUUAGAAGAAACUGCAUUGCAGGUUCAGAACCAAUUUCUAGGGGAUUAUGGCAAGGAGCAGUGGUCGUUCGGGUUCUGGGGGAACGACAUGCACAGGUUAACCCCGCAAUUCAGAAAUUCAGUCUUCGUAUUGACAUCCGAGACGAAGAGAAGUGCUGCAGAGACGCGUUUUAUUUCAAAGUUACGAUACUUAUAAAGUAAGCCAUGCUUUGUCAACCGAAUAUGUGUAUGUAUGUAUAUGCAAUAAAGGCGAAGAACAGAGUCUUUACUUCUCUUCCAACGGAUCUCCUAGCGAAAUGAAGAUAUGGAUAGGUGCUACUGAAGUAGCCAACAUAUACUUAGUAUGGAGGAGAGCGCGUGGGUGUACAUAAUAGGGAAGCAAGUGAGAUCCCAAGAAAAUACGCAUACAAGUAUAUCGCAAGUUUAAUGCUAUAUUAUUCUUAAAUGAAAAUUACACUAGGUUGACUUUUAAUAUACAUGGAGCAUCCUUUUUUCAACAGUCUAAUUACUCCAUGUAAUUACUGCAUCCAUUUUGGUAUGUGAUACUGCAAGUGUAAAUUCAGGAAAAAAACUAUGUUGUUUAGUGUGAGCUGCAAAUUUAGUUUUUGUUGGUGGAUUUCCUCAACCAUAUUUUCGCUGCAUAGAGUGGACUUGGUAGGAGUCUAUUAUUCAGCUCUGUUCUAUGUUUGGAGAGCACUCUCUCUUUUUCCCUUUUGUAGGAAAAUAUUUUAUAGAGAACUCUGCACUAACCCAUGAUUAGUAACUGUGAUAUAUGAUGAUUAUCCAAUGACAAAACUGUUAGAGAAACCUUCAUUUUGAAAAGGAAUCAUGACCUAAGGUCUUUUUAUACAUUUGUCUGGCUAAUUUCACACACACACACACACACACACACACAUAUAAUUUUUACAUUCCAUCUUCUAUUUCAAGUAAAUCCUUGCCCAACAUGCUAUUUACCACAUAUACGUACUUUAGCCUGCACAAUUGACGGACCUGCUACAGUUCAGUAGGAAAUUUCAGGGAUGGACCAAGGAAAAAAGAUGCUGAUGGAGUGCCCUGUAUUGCUACCUGAUUUUUGGUGAACUUUCAAAUUAGUUCUGCGCUGUCCUUCAACAACUGCUUUGUAUAAUCCAGAAGAAUUGGUAUCUGCACAGGCAAUUGGUAGCGCGGUGCGCUUGCUUAGGCCAUCUAACAUAUGGGCAGAGAUAGAGUUUAGGCACCCGGAUAAGGGGAUAUAGAGAUUGUAGGCCAAUAUCUCAUUAGCUGUACAAUAUGAAAUAACUUAAGUGGCAAUAUCAAAUGUUCUUCUCUUUUCAUAGACAAAAGGGAUAAUGUGUUUUACUAUAUAUAUAAAUUGACAUGCCAUAGAUAUUUAUGGUACGAUGCCUUUCCCACACAUUCAAUGGACAGUCCACUUCCAUAUUUAUGUCUUCUUACACCCAGAAUAUGUCUCUCUUUUAAGUAUUGACUGAAACAUUAGCAAUAAAAUUAUUAGAAGAGUUUAUUCUUGCCUACAUCGAAGCACUAUAAUGUCUACCAUUCAGUUACAGUUUAAAGUUCAUAUAUCGUAAUAGUAUUAUAGGCUGUUUUUAUAUUUUUAUCAAUUGAUGCUUUCUUAUUAGAUUUUUUUCAAGCCGGCUUCCUUCUCAACAUCCUAUACUAAUAUAGGUUAUUGGAUAAAGUUCUGUACUGAUAGUACAAAACUUUGUGGUCGCCCAGGCUAUUCAGCCUUUAAUCAUAUUUAACAUCGUCAGGUAAGUAACGAUGUCAUGAUCAGAAGUCAUUGGCUAUGUGCUAUAUAUAUGCGCAUAAUUUCAUAAACUACAUUGUGCAUGCGAUUGUUUUCAGGAACAAUAGAUUUUCUUAAUUUUUUAACUCAAUGUGAAAAUGAACAUUGAUGUUUUUUGUCCCUCGAAGGAGACGAGGUUUAAUAUUUGCUUACAUGACCAGGAACAUUAGGAGAUGUUCAAAUGAGUUGUGAAAGAAGAAGAGUUAUUUGCAAAGAUGGUAGCUUUCUUUUCUGUACAAAGAUGAUGGCUAUACCCACAAUAUUGCUCUUGUUACCUUCUUUUGAUGUAGACCUUAGCUCAUUUUCUUAGCAACAAAAAUUCUGAAUUUAUUGCGCGCACAUGCUUAUUUGGCCAAUCAGGAUAAUAAUAAUUUUGCGGUUUUGUACAAGUUUUACCAGUUUAUUGUUUUCAAAAUUAGAAUCUUGCUGAUUAACCUAUCUGCAUUUUGUAGUAAAGUAGCUACCUACACGAGGUAGGUCCAUUAACUCUUUUGUAGAACCAGAUUGUUGAUAUUUCCUCAGAAGUAAAAAUGUUACCUUUUCCUUUACUCGCUUACUUGAAACCAGACUAUUAGGUACCCACCUUCCAAGAUAUAUAAACAACCAAAAGUAUCACGUCAGGCUAUUCUUUGGUUGUUGAUCAAACAACCAACACUCUGGUGUAUAGGGUCUCUGGAUAAACAAGCUCGAGGAGGCCGUUGUUUGGUGCAGCCCACGACAACAACUACACCAUUGACCACUGAAGCAAGGUCCUUAUAUGGUCACUGAAGAAAUCAUCUUUCCUCCAACCGAAUGGCACUUUUCUUGAAUCUUAGUUGGUGUCUGUUGUAAUUUACCAUCAUCCCUAAGACAAACUUGAUUCUGUGUUGCCGUUCUUUAUCUCUAUUGUUUAAUCCAAAUUACUACUGUGACAUGAUAACAUAUAUGAUGCAAUGGACAAUAUUCCUAAGAACUGCACGGACACAGUGCUUUAUCA